AACGAACGCUGGCGGCAUGCCUAACACAUGCAAGUCGAACGAGACCUUCGGGUCUAGUGGCGCACGGGUGCGUAACGCGUGGGAACCUUCCCUUAGGUUCGGAAUAACUCCCCGAAUGGGGUGCUAAUACCGGAUAAUGUCUUCGGACCAAAGAUUUAUCGCCUUUGGAUGGGCCCGCGUUGGAUUAGCUCGUUGGUAGGGUAAAAGCAUACCAAGGCGACGAUCCAUAGCUGGUUUGAGAGGAUGAUCAGCCACACUGGGACUGAGACACAGCCCAGACUCCUACGGGAGGCAGCAGUGGGGAAUAUUGGACAAUGGGCGAAAGCCUGAUCCAGCAAGGCCGCGUGAGUGAUGAAGGCAUUAGGGUUGUAAAGCUCUUUUACCCGGGAUGAUAAUGACAGUACCGGGAGAAUAAGCUCCGGCUAACUCCGUG
RNAcentral lists this ribosomal RNA (433 nucleotides) under uncultured bacterium. RNAcentral describes it as "partial 16S ribosomal RNA". It matches the Rfam family "Bacterial small subunit ribosomal RNA", at positions 29 to 507 of the family's 1533-position model. The record is from RNAcentral.